Molecule: ribosomal RNA, 495 nt
Filed under: uncultured bacterium
Lineage: Bacteria
Description: partial 16S ribosomal RNA
Rfam family: Bacterial small subunit ribosomal RNA
Source: RNAcentral
GACGAACGCUGGUGGCGUGCCUAAUACAUGCAAGUAGAACGCUGAAGGAGGAGCUUGCUUCUGUGGAUGAGUUGCGAACGGGUGAGUAACGCGUAGGUAACCUGCCUGGUAGCGGGGGAUAACUAUUGGAAACGAUAGCUAAUACCGCAUAAUAGUAGAUGUUGCAUGACAUUUGCUUAAAAGGUGCAAUUGCAUCACUACCAGAUGGACCUGCGUUGUAUUAGCUAGUUGGUGGGGUAACGGCUCACCAAGGCGACGAUGCAUAGCCGAACUGAGAGGGUGAGUGGCCAGCCUGAGAGUGAGACACGGCCCAGACUGCUAGAGAAGGGAGCAAGAGGGAAUCGGGGGCAAGGGGUGGAGGACUGACCAAGCAACGCCGAGGGAGGGAAGAAGGUUGUCGGAUCGGAAAGCUCGGUUGUAAGAGAAGAACGAGUGUGAGAGUGGAAAGUACAGAGUGUGACGGUAUCUGACCAGAAAGGGACGGCUAACUACGUG